This 22-nucleotide small nuclear RNA is filed under the name Arabidopsis thaliana (thale cress). RNAcentral describes it as "snRNA_14527". The record is from RNAcentral. Lineage: Eukaryota; Viridiplantae; Streptophyta; Magnoliopsida; Brassicales; Brassicaceae.
AACGAAAAUUUGGUAUUUAUUU